UGAUAAAGUUGGGUUCAUAUAUAGAUAAAUUGCAAGCUUCAUACACAGCAAUGUUCGCAUGCUUCAAGACUACUUAAUUUUCGCUUCUACGGAGUUUCCUAAAAUCUCACACAUGAAUGCUUCAUAUAUCUUUUGCAUCACACAUCUCCAAAAUGACCAAGGUUCCUGAUCUAGAUUCUGUGCUAAAGAGUCAUUUUGAAGCUUAAGGGACCUCAGAGAAACCACAUUAUUGAUCGAGGAUUAAAAUUUACCCCACUGGCUACAACGAUGUUGACAAUGGACAGUCGAGGUUGAGAUUAUGUUGGUCAACCUCUUAUGUUUGAAGCACCACCGCUGGGACAAGCGACUUCUACAUGGAGCCCGAAGCAUAACGUGUGCUGCUCCUAGUAUCUUGGUGCCCAUCACAAAGUAGGAGUAGGCGCUAGGCACUCCCAAGAGGUGGAGAGGGUUACCAAUGGUGACAUGAGGUCGUUGGUGUAGGUCAUCACCGAGUCUCCUAUGUUCCCCGUCACCGUCUUUUGGAAGCAAAUUAU
This is a long non-coding RNA of Lolium rigidum, 533 nucleotides long. RefSeq lists it as uncharacterized. The transcript is spliced from 3 exons. Lineage: Eukaryota; Viridiplantae; Streptophyta; Magnoliopsida; Poales; Poaceae. The record is from RefSeq and is a predicted model, not a curated record.